GCCACUUGUGUGAGAUACUAAUACAAGGAUGUGGGUACUUAUUAAAGAAUGAGUUCACUGAAUUGAUCCGACUUAAGAAACAUCUUAUGAAAUUUACUUAUCCAUCAAAAGAUGUUUUCUUAUUAUGGGAGUUGUGUAUAUAAUCCUUUGACCUGAAACUACCAUCAAACCUUGUAUACAUGAAUCUAUAUUUUGGUUCAUACUCAUUCAUAAUUUAGUCAUGUACGGAGUGAU
Molecule: long non-coding RNA, 234 nt
Filed under: Elaeis guineensis (African oil palm)
Lineage: Eukaryota; Viridiplantae; Streptophyta; Magnoliopsida; Arecales; Arecaceae
Description: long non-coding RNA (EGUI_LNC063278)
Source: RNAcentral